RNAcentral lists this ribosomal RNA (484 nucleotides) under uncultured bacterium. RNAcentral describes it as "partial 16S ribosomal RNA". It matches the Rfam family "Bacterial small subunit ribosomal RNA", at positions 29 to 507 of the family's 1533-position model. The record is from RNAcentral.
AUUGAACGCUGGCGGCAUGCUUUACACAUGCAAGUCGAACGGCAGCGCGGGCUUCGGCCUGGCGGCGAGUGGCGAACGGGUGAGUAAUGCAUCGGAACGUGCCCAGUAGUGGGGGAUAGCCCGGCGAAAGCCGGAUUAAUACCGCAUACGACCUGAGGGUGAAAGCGGGGGACCGAAAGGCCUCGCGCUAUUGGAGCGGCCGAUGUCGGAUUAGCUAGUUGGUGGGGUAAAGGCUUACCAAGGCGACAAUCCGUAGCUGGUCUGAGAGGACGACCAGCCACACUGGGACUGAGACACGGCCCAGACUCCUACGGGAGGCAGCAGUGGGGAAUUUUGGACAAUGGGGGCAACCCUGAUCCAGCCAUGCCGCGUGCGGGAAGAAGGCCUUCGGGUUGUAAACCGCUUUUGUUCGGGAAGAAAUCCUCUGGGCUAAUACCCCGGGGGGAUGACGGUACCGGAAGAAUAAGCACCGGCUAACUACGUG